GACGAACGCUGGCGGCGUGCUUAACACAUGCAAGUCGAACGGAAAGGCCCGGCUCUUGUGGCGUGCUCGAGAGGCGAACGGGUGAGUAACACGUGAGUAACCUGCCCUUAACUGUGGGAUAACUUCAGGAAACUGGGGCUAAUACAGGAUAGGAUCUCCUGCUGCAUGGGGGGGGUUGGAAAGAUACGGCGGUUGGGGAUGGACUCGCGGCUUAUGAGCUUGUUGGUGGGGUAGGGGCUUACCAAGGCUUUGACGGGUAGCCGGCCUGAGAGGGUGACCGGCCACAUUGGGCCUGAGAUACGGCCCAGACUCCUACGGGAGGCAGCAGUGGGGAAUAUUGCGCAAUGGGCGGAAGCCUGAUGCAGCAACGCCGCGUGCGGGAUGACGGCCUUCGGGUUGUAAACCGCUUUCGCCUGUGACGAAGCGUGAGUGACGGUAAUGGGUAAAGAAGCACCGGCUAACUACGUG
Molecule: ribosomal RNA, 468 nt
Filed under: uncultured bacterium
Lineage: Bacteria
Description: partial 16S ribosomal RNA
Rfam family: Bacterial small subunit ribosomal RNA
Source: RNAcentral